GGGGCAGCGAGGGGCCUGCGGGUUUCACCGCUGUUUUUUUCCUGUGUGUUUUUUUUUCUUUUUUUCCCCUCCGGCUCGGGUUAAACGCCAGAAGCGUGAGGUGGCGGCACAUGGCGUCGUGGCCCCUUCCCUGCGCGCUGCGGCGGCGUUUUCGGGACCUGCGUGUAAGCGUGCGGGCUCCGGUUUUCAGACUUUCAGGUCAUCUGUUCUGUCUGUGCCUCCCAGUGCUUCUGUUCUUAGACCUGUGAAAUGGUGAUGGUGGUGCUCACUCCUCACCGGUGGUCCCUCAAACACCAGCAAGGGAGCAGUGCUAUACAGGAGUUUACAGAUCCGGAGGCACUGCAAGAGAUUACAAGCUGCAAGAAACAGCAAAGAACUCAAAUGAGAAAACUAGGCAGAAGAUCUCAGAACAUGGGGCUUCUGAAUGCAUAUCCUGGGAAAAUGGUUGAAGAUGUUGAUCUAAAAGAAUUGGUUAAGCUCUGAAGACCUGUAUGCCGCUAUUAUUACUGAAAUAAUCCUAUCGUGGCAGUUUUGAAGAACUCUUCUCUUAAUGAAAUUUUGACAUUAACUUGAAUGAAGUAAACAGCACAAUUUUUUUCUCUUU
Molecule: long non-coding RNA, 604 nt
Organism: Dromaius novaehollandiae (emu)
Lineage: Eukaryota; Metazoa; Chordata; Aves; Casuariiformes; Dromaiidae
Exons: 3
Source: RefSeq, a predicted model, not a curated record